Molecule: long non-coding RNA, 114 nt
Organism: Sander lucioperca (pikeperch)
Lineage: Eukaryota; Metazoa; Chordata; Actinopteri; Perciformes; Percidae
Exons: 3
Source: RefSeq, a predicted model, not a curated record
UCUUUGACUGUAUUAUUGCAUGUCUCAUAUACUCUUCUCACUUACAGCUUGGUCGACAUAAAGCCCCAAAAAAGUAAUUUAGCCAUCAAAGAAAAAAGCAGAUUUAAAAAGGAA